GGGGGUGACUGGUUUCGACGUUGGUCGUCUUACCAGGGGAAGCGGGCCGAGUACGCGAUGUGAUCUCGUUAAUCCUCGUCGCAAACCAAUAGUUGCCAAUACAUCGCGCAACGACCUCACCCUCGCUGCCUAAGCGAGGCCUGUAGGUCCGUCAGUCCGGGAACGCCUUCGGCCCGGGUCCUGGCGUCGACUAGGAGGCCACUGCCCAAAGGACCGGUCACGGGGCCUGCGGGAACACUAACCGUGACUGAGCCCGGCUCGGUGACCCGCCUGUGGGAUCGCCGGGGCUAAGAAAAGCCACAGCAGGCUGCGCCCGGAGAAGUCCUGGUUCUGCGCUGACGGACGGGGGUUCGAAUCCCCCCACCUCCAC
This 370-nucleotide transfer-messenger RNA is filed under the name Kineosporia sp. NBRC 101677. It matches the Rfam family "transfer-messenger RNA". Rfam says of the family: Bacterial tmRNA, also known as 10Sa RNA or SsrA, is named for its dual tRNA and mRNA-like properties. Its role is to liberate the mRNA from a stalled ribosome. To accomplish this part of the tmRNA is used as a reading frame that ends in a translation stop signal. Lineage: Bacteria; Bacillati; Actinomycetota; Actinomycetes; Kineosporiales; Kineosporiaceae. The record is from RNAcentral.